UUAAGUUCAGCGGGUAUCCCUACCUAAUUCGAGGUCGACGUUUGAAGGUGUGGCCGCGAAGACCACGCUUGCACGGCAGGCGUCGAGCGGACCCACGAGCUGCAUCGCUGCUGCGCUCCAGGCCGCACCGGCACCGCCGAUGGAUUCAAGGGCCGCCGCUCCCGCGAGGGAGGGGCGAUCCCCAACACCAAGCUUGCGCU
Molecule: unclassified non-coding RNA, 200 nt
Filed under: Sordariomycetes sp.
Lineage: Eukaryota; Fungi; Ascomycota; Sordariomycetes
Description: partial internal transcribed spacer 2
Source: RNAcentral